CCCUUAGAUGUCCGGGGCUGCACGCGCGCUACACUGACUGGCUCAGCGUGUGCCUACCCUACGCCGGCAGGCGCGGGUAACCCGUUGAACCCCAUUCGUGAUGGGGAUCGGGGAUUGCAAUUAUUCCCCAUGAACGAGGAAUUCCCAGUAAGUGCGGGUCAUAAGCUUGCGUUGAUUAAGUCCCUGCCCUUUGUACACACCGCCCGUCGCUACUACCGAUUGGAUGGUUUGGUGAGGCCCUCGGAUCGGCCCCGCCGGGGUCGGCCCACGGCCCUGGCGGAGCGCUGAGAAGACGGUCGAACUUGACUAUCUAGAGGAAGUAAAAGUCGUAACA
Molecule: ribosomal RNA, 334 nt
Filed under: uncultured eukaryote
Lineage: Eukaryota
Description: partial 18S ribosomal RNA
Rfam family: Eukaryotic small subunit ribosomal RNA
Source: RNAcentral